UACGUAGGGAGCAAGCGUUGUCCGGAAUCAUUGGGCGUAAAGCGCGCGUAGGCGGCCCUGUAAGUCCGUUGUGAAAGUCAAAGGCUCAACCUUUGAAAGCCGAUGGAUACUGCAGGGCUAGAGUCCGGAAGAGGCGAGUGGAAUUCCUGGUGUAGCGGUGGAAUGCGCAGAUAUCAGGAGGAACACCGGUGGCGAAGGCGGGUCUCUGGGCCGAAACUGACGCUGAGGAGCGAAAGCGUGGGGAGCAAACAGG
Molecule: ribosomal RNA, 253 nt
Filed under: uncultured bacterium
Lineage: Bacteria
Description: partial 16S ribosomal RNA
Rfam family: Bacterial small subunit ribosomal RNA
Source: RNAcentral